This 253-nucleotide ribosomal RNA is filed under the name uncultured bacterium. RNAcentral's name for it is "partial 16S ribosomal RNA". It matches the Rfam family "Bacterial small subunit ribosomal RNA", at positions 524 to 776 of the family's 1533-position model. The record is from RNAcentral.
UACAUGUGGGGCAAGCGUUGUUCGGAAUUACUGGGCAUAAAGGGUGCGUAGGUGGUUUGUUAAGUCAGGGGUGAAAUCCCGCGGCCCAACCGUGGAACUGCCUUUGAUACUGGCGAACUUGAGUGCGUGAGGGGUAGGGGGAACGAGCAGUGUAGCGGUGAAAUGCGUAGAUAUUGGAAGGAACACCGGAGGCGAAAGCGGUGUACUGGGGCUGGUCUGACGCUGAGGCACGAAAGCCAGGGGAGCGAACGGG